Eriocheir sinensis (Chinese mitten crab) is the source of this 3288-nucleotide long non-coding RNA. RefSeq lists it as uncharacterized. The transcript has 3 exons. The record is from RefSeq and is a predicted model, not a curated record. Lineage: Eukaryota; Metazoa; Arthropoda; Malacostraca; Decapoda; Varunidae.
CCUUCUUCUUCAUUUCACCAUUUAGUUAUUAAGUUAGGGUAAAUCAGGUUACAUUAUUUGGCAUUGUUUGGAUAAUCUAAAGUAUUGUUUCUCUUAUACUCUUGAUCCAUAGUGCUAGUAAGCUUUCUUAAUGGGGUGUAGUUCUCUGCCCCAGCCUGUUAGUGCCAUGGGCGUAUUUUUUUUAUAGUGGCGCCAAGUAUUUAUUAAUGGCGCCAAUGGUAAGGGUGAUGAGGUUAGGUUGGUACUCGUAAUUUUAAGGUUAUUUGGCAGAAUUAUAUUGUUUAAAAUGGUUAGGCUAGGUUACUUUAUGCAGUGAGGUUAGGGAGAUAGACUGUUGGGUUUGGUUGGGUACUUUACCAGAUGAGGUUGGGUUACUCUGGGUAGGGUUACAUUAUAUGGGUCAAUUUAUUCUACAUAGUGGGUUAGGUUAAUACAGAUGGUAGGGUUAGGUCACUUUACAUGGUGGGGUCAGUUUAUCUUAUAUGGUGGGUUAGGUUAGUGCAGAUGGUAGGGUUAGGUCACUUUAUGUUAUAUGGUGGGUUAGGUUAGUGCAGAUGGUAGGGUUAGGUCACUUUACAUGGUGGGGUCAGUUUAUUUUGCAUGGUGGAUUAGGUUAAGACACAUGGUGGGGUCAGUUUAUUUUACAUGGUGGGUUAGGUCAAUGCAGAUGGUAGGGUUAGUUUAUCUUAUAUGGUGGGUUAGGUAAUGCAGAUGGUAGGGAUGGAGGUGAAGAGGGAUUUGAUAAAUACAGUAAUAGUACCCUCACUCACACAUGCAAGCAAAACAUGGGCCUGGAAUGAAACUCAGAGGUCUAGAGUGCAGGCAGUGGAAAUGAGUUAUUUGAGGAGUGCUUGUGGUGUGAGUAGAAUGGACAGAAUGAGUAAUGAAAGUGUGUAUGAGCGUUUUGGAAUGUGUCAUGGGGGUGAAGGGAAGAAGUGUGGAGUCGUGGAAGAAGUGAAGCGACAGAGUUUAAAGUGGUUUGGCCACAUGGGGCGAAUGGAGGAGAGUAGGAUGACCAGGAGGGUGUAUGUGAGUGAGAUAGAGGGAGGGAAUGUUAGAGGACAACCUCCAGUGAAAUGGAGAGAUAGGGUGCUGGAGUACGUUAGGGAGAGGGGGGAAAGAUCAGUGGGAAACUUUGAGCAGGCAAGGAGGGAGUGUAUGAAUAGAGAGAGAUGGAAACUCUUCUGCCGUGGCCAUCCCCUGGUGGGAGCUCCUAGGAGUUGGCGUCGAUGAGAUGAUGAUGAUAUGGUAGGGUUAGGUCAUUACAUGGUGGGGUCAGUUUAUUUUACAUGGUGUGUUAGGUUACUCCGCAUGGUAGGGUUAGGUCAUUACAUUGUGGGGUCAGUUUAUUUUACAUGGUAGGUUAGUACAGUUAAUACAGAUGGUAGUGUUAUGCCACUUUACAUGGUGGGAUUUAUUUAUUUUACAUGGUUGUUUAGGCUAAUAUGGAUGGUAAGGCUAGGUCACUAAAAGGUGGGGUUAGGUUAUCUUGUUUUACAUUCUGGGGGAAGGUUACUUUCAUGGUGUGGCUGAAAGGUAAACUUGGGGCUAUCAAAACACCUCUCCAUCUGAAGCUGACCUCUCCUGACCUCUCAUUUCUAUUUUCUUUUACAGGGACAGUACUUAGCAGGCAUAUUUUUAUUUUUUGCCCUUGACUUCACUUCCUAAAAAAGAACCCUACUUCUAUUAUUACCACUGCUACGGUACUAUGGUUGUGUGUGGUUUUGGUGCUCAUCUCUGCUGCGUUGCUAUGGGUGGUUAGUGGAAAAUCAAACUAGGCCUUAUCACAUCAAUUAUUGGAUUUCCUUGACACCAGGGUCCUUAUCAGAUGAAUUACUUGAUCCCCUUGAAGCCAUGCCAGUUGAAGCUCCAAGGUGGUGUGUCAAGCGAGGGUGGGCAGAGGAAGUGAUUAAAGAAAAGAUGUGAAAAGAUAAGGUUGUUGUGCAGAGACAAUAUCCUGGACUGUGUUUUGUAUAAUUCUGGUCCUUUUACUCUGAAUUCAUAUACUUGUAGCUUCUUCCCUAAUCCCUUUUAUAUAGUCCAGUCCCAACAUCACUUCUCUUCCUCUUCAGGUUUAUGAUUUAGUUCUUAAUCUUUUUGUGUCUGAUUCUAGUAUAUAAUGAACACCGCACUGGUAUACCUCUACAUCAUACAUUGCUAAACUACUUUACUACUGCUACUACUACUAUUACUACUAUAGUCUGUUUCAUUCCGUCUGGCCACCAACAAAGCGGGAAUUUUGAUGUAUGUGGCACCUGCGCAUUUCUAGUUCGUGUAUGCGUGAAAAUCAACUGUUGUGAUAGACAUUCAAGCUUAUUUUUCAAUAAUAAUUUGAAUAUUUACGUAUACAAAAAACAACUCUGUCGUUUGCAUCGAUAAUCUAAAAUACAAGCACGCGAAAAUACAAGAUUGUAUCAAAUAACAUAAUCACAUCAUGCUCGAACGAUCUGUGUUUUUUCAAAUUCUUUGAUUGAUAGCUCAUUUCAUAUAUAUUAAAAGACAUCUGGCUCUGCAUGUGCAAAUAAAGGUUAUCUUAAUAAUUUACUGCAUGUAAAUAAUGAUUAAUAACAUAAAUAACAUGAAAGAGUAUAACUGUUGAAUGCGAUGCUAGGCUAUUUCGAAUAUUAGGCUACCCAUGUUAUUUACAUGCAACACGUUAAAAUGCCUUAUGUAUAGACACUUGCAGAGUCGUAUGUCACUUAAUUUAUGUAGCCUUUACCUGAAUGAGAUGAAAUAUGAGUAUCUGAAAGGCUAUAGAACAUUCGAGUAUGAUCAGACUAUACUGUUUGAUAAACAAGUUCCUUCGUGUGCUUGUAUGGUAAUUAUCGAUGAAAAUCUUCAGUGUGCGGUUCAUAUACGAUGGCUUGAGGGUUUUUAUAUACACAAACAUUUAAAUAUAUCACUGAAAAUAUAAAUUUGAUCUUCACGCAAUCACGAACUCACAAUGCGCAGGUGCCACAUCUACGUUCGCGAGUGGACAGACGGAAUGAAAUGGACUAUACGACUACUACUACUACUAUUGGGGCUAUCCAAACACCUCUGUCAGAAAUGACCUCUCUUCUGGCCUGUUAUUAUUUUUUUUUUAUAGGAGCAGUACUUUACAGGCUUUUUUCUUUCUACCCAUGAACUGCUUCCUCUACUAAAAUACUGCUACUACAACUACUACUGUAAUACUAUUACUACUGUUAUUCCUUCACCCUAAAUAAUACUGCUACUACUACUACUAAUAAUAAUAAUCCCCAAAUUGUGAACCGAUAUAUUCCUUAACUCGAGCUGCCUCCACCGCCA